UACGAAGGAUUCGAGCGUUAUCCGGAUUUAUUGGGUUUAAAGGGUGCGUAGGCGGACUGAUAAGUCAGUGGUGAAAGCCUGUUGCUUAACAACAGAACUGCCAUUGAUACUGCCAGUCUUGAGUACAGUUGAGGUAGGCGGAAUGUGUCAUGUAGUGGUGAAAUACUUAGAUAUGACACAGAACACCGAUUGCGAAGGCAGCUUGCUAAACUGUAACUGACGCUGAGGCACGAAAGCAUGGGGAGCAAACAGG
RNAcentral lists this ribosomal RNA (253 nucleotides) under uncultured bacterium. Its description in RNAcentral is "partial 16S ribosomal RNA". It matches the Rfam family "Bacterial small subunit ribosomal RNA", at positions 524 to 776 of the family's 1533-position model. RNAcentral also lists the same sequence under 1 other name. The record is from RNAcentral.